UCUCUGUGCAGAGAAUGGCAGCAUGUUCUUCCCUGGGUCCCAAAUAAAGGGAUCAAGAGGAUUUGCUGAUAACACUUCACUUCCUGUGUGCGUGGGGGGUUCACAAUGAUCCCUAUUAGGUCAGAUCCUCUUCCCCUCCAUCCUCGACACUUUAUCUUCUGCUAGCACAAUCCACAGGACAUUUCAUCUGAGGAUCUCAACACACUUAUUCCCUCAGAGCCCAGGAGGACGAUCAAGGUGGACAAACUCUUAAAUAAGUGUCUCGUAACUUCACCGCCACUGGGAGGAUGCCUGUAGCCCAGGCGCUUUGCGAGGGGCUCCCACCUAGAGGGGAUAGGAGCACCAGGAGCUGAUUCUCACAGUAAAGCCCUGAUUCUCGUUAAUGUGACGUCCCUGAGCCAAGUGACCCGGCGAGAUCUUUCCAAGGGGAAGAUGCUUCUCAUUCCAGAUCCUCGCGACGCUUGUUUCUGGGUCGGUCUGGAAGACUUGUGAUUUUGUUGUUUCCGGUGUCAGGGAAGCGAACAACAAAUCCCAGUCUCCUCACAGCCCCAGGACUGGCCUCCAAGAAUCCAUCCAUGAUACCUUCCCUGGGACCCAGCAGCAUGAGGAGGAGAGGGGGGAAAUAGACCUGUUUCCAAUCAACUCUGCUAUAGACACAACACGUGGUUUCUACGCAGCUCGAGCCCCAGCUAUGUCUCUGCUUACCAGAGACCACCCACCCUGCCCUGUAGCAUUCAGAGACAUCCAGUGGUCAAACAAACAAAAAACAGAGUAAAUAUAUUGCUCCCACUUCAUCCCUAACUCGCUGGCCCCUCCACACGACCCACGUAGAACUCAAUUUAUCUGUCUAAAAAUGAUACAAAGCUAGGCUUGACCCUGCCAGAAUUUGGAUCUAUGCUUACAGACGGCCUAGGGAUUUCAGGAAACCAAGACUAUAACCACACUCAGAUUCUAGACUACUGCAGUUGUACCACGGCAAAACCCUUGCGUAGACACGAUGUACAUCAGUGCAGCUUAGCGUGGUAAACUAGGAAGAGGCCUAGACUGAUGUUGGCAGCUGGACAUGGGAUAAUUAGGACUUUUGGCUUUAACUGGAUAAAUAGCAGAACCAUCUUGUUAAAGAGAUCAGCAGCGAAACACUUAACAGCGCUGACAUGUAAUCAUUAGACUUCAGAAUCAACACUGCAACGGAGAUGCACGGAGGCAGCUCGCACCUCUGUUUCAGGCUGUCUGCAGAUGCACAAAGAUGUGGCUGCAGAGGCUUAAGGCAAUCUUUGGCUCUAUAAAAAAUAGGGACUAUUUUGUUUUCAAGAGCAGUCCACUUCUGGAGCAAACAUCUGAGGCAAGAGAUUCUGCAGCACAUACUUCCCUGCUUCUAAUCAUCCACCUGAAACUAGAUGAAUUUAAGUUCCCUCUAUCCCCCCUUAUCCUCUCAUCCAGUAUAUCUUGCCCUCACUCACCUUCCUCAAAUCCUGCAGGCAUAUGCUCCUUUGCAUCCGCUGGCUCAAGCAGAGAGGACGUAAACCCAGCGCUGAGUGAUCAGAGCUCCCCGCAGUUAAGAGGCCUGUCUUGCCUCAGGAAGUCUGCCCCAUUCCUAGGCUAGAUCGCUGGCAGAGCAGAAAAUCCCUCCAAGGACUGCGCAGGCAGCCUUCCGAGCCAACACAGAGCUGCUAAGGGGGCUGACCAAGAGUAUUACGAGAACUCUCCUCUCCUCACCUUCCUGGGCAGUAAUUUCACCACCUUGCCUUUAUAUAGCACUAGUAUCCUUAGAUCUCCAAGCUCCUUUACAUGUGGGGAAACCAAGGCAGAGAGGGGUGAAGUGGUUUGCCCAGUCACUCAGCAGACCUUUGGCAGAGUCAGGAUUAGAACCUAAGCCUCCUAAAUCCCAGUCCACACUGCCUCCAUAGGGCACAUGCUGUGGCAAAAGAGGCAGCAUCUCUGUCCCCAUCACACACGCAACCUCCUUUUUCCUCUCUCUCCUUCUCUCCCAGCAGCCACUGCCCCAGCUACACUCUGACAAAAGGAUGUAGGAUACCCUCAUCGGACUAACGGAGAUGGACUCGCCUGGAAUGGUUUAAUAGAAGCGAAGGAAUCAGGGAAAGCUCAGGAUCACUCACCAUCCCACACCCCCCAUAAGAGAGCUGACUUGAUACAUGUCCACCACCAAAUAUGAAGCCGAGAGCAAGUGCCUGUGCUAACUUCCAAACAGCUGAAGGCCAAGUCAACAGUCUGUGAUCAAUCACAACACAGCCCAGUGGGUUGCUUUGCGAUCCUGAGGUUAAUCAUCUGUGUAUGGAACUGACCAACCACCUGUACUCUUCAGGAUCGCCCCAGCCCCGGAGGAAGCUAGACAAGAGAGGCACUCGUUGGGUGGUGGUUCAGCUUCCUACCAGGAGUUCUGACCCACAGCCUAUUGAAGUCAGUGGAAAGAGUGCCGCUGGCCUUUGGUGAGCUUUGGAUCAGGUCAAUGGAGAGAAGUGGUCAAAUGAAACAUGAGGUAACCCUGCUAGAGAGGAGAUGCUAACAAGUCGUACACACUCUCAGAGCUCUAAGUACAUGGGAGGUUUCUAACAAGUCACCCCUAGCAUCUGACAUUAGUCAAGUUGCCAGCAUGGGUUUCCUGGUGCAUCUCAGCCAGCAUCAAAAAGCUUCAUGCCACAACUAGAGCAAGGGUGCCCACAAAGACAGGCCAAUGGUCUGCACCAUCUGCAGGAUAAGGGCAGGGGGAAAAAAUCUGAUCAACCGCAGGUCACUCAAGGGCCACAGGGUCCCAAAGGGUAAAUGCAGCCAUCCAGGAAAAUACGUGGCGCAAGGGGAGACAGAUGGUUGAGUUCAUUUCUUUUCAGUAAGAGUGGUAUGCAAAUUUAGAUGCAAAUGACGUAGCUGUAUUGGCUCCUGG
Mauremys reevesii (Reeves's turtle) is the source of this 2899-nucleotide long non-coding RNA. RefSeq lists it as uncharacterized. Lineage: Eukaryota; Metazoa; Chordata; Testudines; Geoemydidae. The record is from RefSeq and is a predicted model, not a curated record. The transcript has 4 exons.